RNAcentral lists this transfer RNA (96 nucleotides) under Potamon fluviatile. RNAcentral's name for it is "tRNA-Leu". The record is from RNAcentral. Lineage: Eukaryota; Metazoa; Arthropoda; Malacostraca; Decapoda; Potamidae.
ACUGUUUUGGCAGAGAAUAUGCACUAAAUAUAGGAUUUAAUUAUAUAGUAUACCUAUAAAUAGUAAAAUAAUUUUUUUUAAAAAGCUAAUUAUUUU